Molecule: small nucleolar RNA, 133 nt
Organism: Nothoprocta perdicaria
Lineage: Eukaryota; Metazoa; Chordata; Aves; Tinamiformes; Tinamidae
Source: Ensembl
AAUCCCAUUUAUUUGCUUCUAUGCUUUCUUGGUGGUAUGAGGAGUUAUACGCAUGGGAAAGACCAUACAAGUUUCCUGCAAAUUAGAGAUGAAAGUGCCAGUGUUUCAUCUCUCUUGCUGGGGCUGGACAGCU